GACAGAGGGUGCAAACGUUGUUCGGAAUUACUGGGCGUAAAGCGCGUGUAGGCGGCUAAGUAAGUCGGGCGUGAAAUCCCACGGCUCAACCGUGGAAGUGCACUCGAAACUGCAUAGCUAGAGUCCUGGAGAGGAAGGUGGAAUGCUUGGUGUAGAGGUGAAAUUCGUAGAUAUCAAGCGGAACACCGGUGGCGAAGGCGGCCUUCUGGACAGUGACUGACGCUGAGACGCGAAAGCGUGGGGAGCAAACGGG
Molecule: ribosomal RNA, 253 nt
Filed under: uncultured bacterium
Lineage: Bacteria
Description: partial 16S ribosomal RNA
Rfam family: Bacterial small subunit ribosomal RNA
Source: RNAcentral